Molecule: ribosomal RNA, 105 nt
Filed under: Periophthalmus magnuspinnatus
Lineage: Eukaryota; Metazoa; Chordata; Actinopteri; Gobiiformes; Gobiidae
Source: RNAcentral
CAGGGCGGCUUGUCAAAGCUUUCUUCAGAUCUCAGCAGAUAAGCAAAGCCGGGCCUGGUCAGUACUUGGAUGGGAGACCACUGGGAAAACCUGGUGCCACAGUGA